UCUGGUGUUCUGUUUUGGACUGGGGAUUCUGAAUUGUGUCUGGUCCGUUCGACUAGCUGUCCUCCUUAACCCUAAUUUUCCAGCAGCAAAGAAACACCGUCGUCUUCUCUUUCCCUUUCGUGCGGCGCCAACAGAUGCCGUUUCAGCUUCUUCACAUCGACUGAAACGUUCCCAGUAAAAGCUUCAUGAUCAAUCUCAUUGGUUUGCUCCUCCAGUAUGUCGUCUUUAAUGCUUCGUUUGAUCUGAAAGGCGGCGGUUGUUGAGUAUAAUAUGGGUCAGUGUUUCUCUUUUCAUCGCAUCUUAUUUUGCAACUCUUAGAACUCAUACCAAAAGAUUGUAUUAUGCUGUUUGUUCUUCAUUUUUUUUUUAUUUCUUGGGUCAUCUGAUUGCUUUCCCUGUUUGGCAUCGCACUUUAUUCUGUCAGGUAAAAUAAUCCGUAGGUUUGGUUUCCGACAAGUCAGGAUCAUUACUUCCACUGAGCCAAGGUUAGCUACUGUGGCAGAGAAACGUGUCGUUACAGUACCAGCAACGUUCUACAGCAGAAGACGCCGCCGUUGAGUUGGUGAAAAAAGGUAAAUAUCUCUGAUACUCUAAGUAGUAUGCCUAAUAAUAUUGAUCUCUAUGCAUUUAUAUGUUUCUACAGCUUAGUAGAAAGGAGCAAGAAACAUGUAUUUGGUGAUUUUAAUCUUAUAAGUCAUGUUUCAGAUUGAUGAUUUAUUCAUUCAGCAAUUUUUUUCUUUUAGUUUGAAUAGUUUUCUUCAAGUUAAAUAGUGUCUUGAACUGUUCUUUACGAUUUAAGGUCAAGGGAGUCUCUAAACAUUUUUAUUCAUAUGCUUUCUGCAGCAAAAGCUCCUGCAGUGGUUUGACCAUCAAGAUAUGUGUUUUGUAUAUGUUUCAGGUCAUGGGUGUACUGCAAGUAUAUACGCAACCAUAUCACGAAUUGAGGUUUAGUCUCCUUCUUUAGGUGUACCUGAAAAAUUAGAAAACAGACCGGUUAGUGAAGAAGCUUAAAGUCUAACUCCAGACCUCAUUCUUCUCUUAUCAUUUUCAACAACUGAGAUUCUUCCGUCAAGAUUCACUUUACCAAAAGAUCGACCCGGUUAAAAGAGAUCAACAUAGUGAACCGAUGCUCCAGUGGCCGGAAGAAAGUUGUGUUGUCCGGAUACAUGUACCGUUCCGGUGAGAUUUCUCCGCCGAGCACAGUUACUCAGAUCGCCAUGUUUGUAGCUAUGAGCCGGUCGUGAGGCUGUCACUAGAGAAAACCCAGUCGUUAAGGCGGCGAAGCUGGCCGAAGUUUAAGAAAAAUACAAUCUUUAAUCGUGGUUGAAGCUCUGAUCUAUAAGUAUCGGACAUAGAGAUGCUCAGAGACAUUGCUUUGAUGGUUUCUGUUUUGUAAUGAGCGAUCAUAGAUAUUUUUUUUUUUUAGAUGUUUUGAUCAGAGCUAUAUAAAGAGGUUUCGAAGCUAUAUAAAGUUUCAACAUUUACUAAUGAUAUUGAGUACUCAGCUCUGUAGAAGACAUUACAGACAUCUCUAUGAUCCUUUCCAGACAUUAUAGAUUCUUCAAUUUUUCA
Molecule: long non-coding RNA, 1572 nt
Organism: Raphanus sativus (radish)
Lineage: Eukaryota; Viridiplantae; Streptophyta; Magnoliopsida; Brassicales; Brassicaceae
Exons: 2
Source: RefSeq, a predicted model, not a curated record